This 103-nucleotide small nucleolar RNA is filed under the name Chlamydomonas reinhardtii. RNAcentral's name for it is "CrCD03c snoRNA". Lineage: Eukaryota; Viridiplantae; Chlorophyta; Chlorophyceae; Chlamydomonadales; Chlamydomonadaceae. The record is from RNAcentral.
UUGCGUAUGAUGGAACUCACAAUACUGCGUUAUCUUACCGAGCCCUGCCCCGGCUUCGGCUUUGGGGCAGCGCUGAGGACAAACCAACAUGUGCCUGACGCAA